UGGAUCAAUUUUGUAAAAACAAAUAAAACUAAAAAAAAUAAAAUAAAAGAACAAAAAAAAUACAAAUAAAAAAAAGUAAAGAAAGCAGGGGCUGUAGGAAAAACAUAAGAAUAAAAAAAAAGAGAAAAAUCAUAAAAAUAAUAAAUUAUAUUAAUAACAGCAGUAGAAGUCAAGAAUUAAAAUAUUAUAUGCCUCAUAAUUCGAAUAAGAAAUUAUAACUAAUUAAAAUAUGAGCUCUAAAUCAUCACAUGCCUUAUAAUUUGUGCUAAGAAAAUAUAAUCUGAUAAAAUUCGAGAACUAAACUAUCAUGUAUCUUCUAGUUUGAGGACCAAAAGCGUAGUUUAUCUUUUUUAUAUUUUAAGUUUAUUUCAGAUGAAGACCGAGUUGUGUAUCGAUCAAUUUUGUUCAAUCAUGAGUUUUAUUUGAGAAAAAAAUAUGUUAAAUUAUCUAAUAAAUUUUAAAAAUCUAAUUGUUAAAAUUAAAGUCAACCAAUAAUAUAUUGAAUAUUCUAAAAUAUUUUAAAUGUAAAAUUGAUCGCUCAUCAGACUAUAAAUAUAGUAUUGAGGUUUGAUAUUAAAAUCAAGUAAAAAUGUAUAGAAUAUUUUUAAAAUAUAAACCAUUUUGAAUCAAUUAUUCAACAUUUCAAAAUUUUAUUUUUAUCAUCCAAUUUUUUUCUAUACUUGAUUUGAGUUAAUCAAUGAUACUUUUACUUUAAAAUUUGAAUGUGUUAUUUAUCUUUACAAAUUUAGUUUAUAUGCUUUAUGCAUUUUUUACAACUAAAUUUAUUAAAAUAACUAAUUAAAUUAAAUUUUAUUAAUUUUUUUAAUUUUAUUAUAUAAUUUAAUAUGUAAUUGAUUAAUAUUACCAAACUAAAAUUUAGUAGAGGAAGUGAAAAAUUAAAUAAAAAAAUAAUAAAAAAAAAGAUUGGCCCCACCUCCACCCCCAGUACCCCAACGGCCGCCGCAGCCACGUGUUUUUCCAACUGUCGAUUCAUUAUAUGUAAUACAUAUAGGGAAAACUUCAAAAACCCCCCCUGUGGUUUCAUGCAUUCUCACUUUACUACCCUGUGGUUUAAAACGUAUCAAUUUGCCCCCCUGUGGUUUCAUUUUUAUCUUUUCGGAAGCUUUUUCGUUAACAUUUCGUUAAAUUAUAUACAAAAAAACUUCAGAUAACCAUCUAUAUUUAUCGAAUAUUCACUUUAGUAUCCUUUAAUUUUAACUUUGUCACUGAUUUAAGAAAAAAAUAAUAAUAAAAUUGAUAACAAAAAGAGAAAAACGAAACCACACGGAGGCAAAUUGAUACGUUUUAAACCACAGGGUACUAAAGUGAGAAAGCACGAAACCACAGGGG
RNAcentral lists this long non-coding RNA (1350 nucleotides) under Ananas comosus (pineapple). RNAcentral's name for it is "long non-coding RNA (ACOM_LNC014711)". Lineage: Eukaryota; Viridiplantae; Streptophyta; Magnoliopsida; Poales; Bromeliaceae. The record is from RNAcentral.